GGAAUCCGCGGCCAGGGACCCGCGCAGGCCCCUCCUUAGCUGAGGGGCGGCCGGGUACUCGGGUCCCGACCCGCGACCACCGCACCCAUCACCACCACAGCGGGAACUGCCCGGCGGCCCCCAGAAGCCCCGGCCCGGCCGCAGAGGUGGGCCCCCGAGCACAGAGGCCCCGAAACUCGGCUCGCAGCCCUCAGCCCCAAUGUCGGGGGGCGCGGUGGCCCCGGGCGAACCCCCACCCCGCCCCUGGAGCCCACAGGUGGCCCCACAACUUCGCGGCCCGCGCUGCGCCCGCGGGGCCUAGCACGCUGCCGCGGGACCUGCCCAACGUGGAGUGUGUGCCCGCCCCCUCCCGCCCCGGCCCCCGGCGCAGCCCUUACCCAGAAGACGAAAUUGAAGACGAAGAGCAGGAGGAAGAAACAGUGUGGUGAACACAUGGUAUCGUCUGUUCCGCCAUCCACCCCUCUGUUGACCUGCCAAAGUCCACCCAGUCACUACACCCUCUCCAGACCCAGCAUCUCCGAUGGAUGAGCACAUCAGGUUUGGAUAUGCCCUCUCUUGGUCCAGCACCCUAUGAAUUUAAACAUUGAGUUAUUGUCCCCCUAUGCUAGAUUGUAUCUGUGACCCCAGUCUCUCGCCCUUUCCUGUGCCCAAGGCCAGCCACGACUUGCUGUCAUGGGAAUGCGCCCAGCCAAGAUCAGUCAAGCAGAGCCCAGACACAUAAGCAGGAAAAGCUGACUGUUGUGCACCACGGAGACUGUGUAGAUACGUGUUAAUUUGCGUUUCUUCUUAUGGCAGCGCCCUCCUUCACAUAGCCUGCUUCUGUAUUAGUCAGGACAGGCCAGGCUGUAUUGUGGUAGCAGUCGGAACCCCCAAACCCAGCUGCUGCCAAGAGAGCAGGCACUGGGGGCCCGAGUGAUGGGGACUUGGUGGAGCUGGAGCAGCAAACUUGCUAAAAUCACUCCUGGUGACCUGGCAGGCUGAAUACAAGAAGGCUCAGCCAGGAGCACAAGGGGCGAAGUGGAAAAACACCGCAUUGCGAGUUUUGUGUUAGGUCCAGUAACACGAGACGGAGACCAGCUUGAGAAAGAAGGCCCAGCUUACAAGCAGAGAUGAAAGUGAACAGAGAGAUGGAUCCAGAAAUUCAGAGAACUGCAAGGGCAGAAAAACCAACUGCUCCAAGCGUUAGGAUUUUAACAAGCUUUGGGAGACAAAGGCCCAAUAAAAUGCCUGAGUUGGACCGAUCAACAGAAGACAAAGAUGGGAUUAAGGCCCAUUCAAGUCUGAGAGCCUUCUGACAGCUGCCAUUGAGUUGAUGGAGAGGAAUGAGAGCAAAUACAUCCUGAAACUUCA
This 1350-nucleotide non-coding RNA is filed under the name Pan troglodytes (chimpanzee). Lineage: Eukaryota; Metazoa; Chordata; Mammalia; Primates; Hominidae. The record is from RNAcentral.